Armigeres subalbatus is the source of this 1095-nucleotide long non-coding RNA. RefSeq lists it as uncharacterized. The transcript is spliced from 3 exons. The record is from RefSeq and is a predicted model, not a curated record. NCBI's taxonomy places the organism in Eukaryota, Metazoa, Arthropoda, Insecta, Diptera, Culicidae.
UGUUCCUGUAGAAGACGACUCAGCACCAGCUUUAACACCCAACCAUUUCCUGCUUGGGUCGUCUAAUGGAGUGAAACCACUGUAUGCUAUGGAUGAUAGCGCUACAACGUUACGCCAAUGCUGGCGAUUAUCUCAGCUUCAGGCCAACCGGUUCUGGCAAAGAUGGGUCAGCGACUAUUUGCCUGAGAUAACUCGACGCACGAAAUGGUUCACCGAUACGAAGCCGAUAGAAACCGACGACGUGGUAAUAAUUAUCGACUCUAGAUUUCCCCGGAAUUGUUGGCCAAAAGGACGAGUGAUCUGCAUUCAUCCUGGACGGGACGGCCAACCUAGAUCAGCGACGGUGAGGACAACCCGCGGCAUCUACGAGCGACCAGUAGCCAAGUUAGCCGUGCUAGACGUACGGCGCGUUAAGGAUUAAGCUGGCCAUGCGGCCAUCGUACCUGGGGGGACUGUUGGCGAACGUACGCCAGCGCGCCUCUACUAUUUUGGCCUCUCUAUGUGAUCGGUCGCUGUACCCCUCGCCGAUAGGUACCAUAAGCAGGUAUGACGGAAUGACAGAUUCCACACGGUGACAUCGGUGAGUCCGUACAUGAAGUAAGAGAAAAAGAAGAACAAAUAUGCUAGAGAAAAAUGCAGGUCAUGUCGUAAAUACGAUAGAUGUUUAAAGAGAAGCAGUGAAAUUUAUUAUAAUACGGUGAAUAUUUGUUAUUUUAGCUAUCUAGUGAAUUAUUACUUGGCAGUUAUCAGGAGUGAAACCUAAAAUUAUAUACUUGCACUUAACCUAAAUUUCCCAUUGGAGCUUAUGAACUAGAUUGUACGGAGAAAUAGUACGUUUGAAGUGCAGGCCUGAAUACGAAUCCGACAUAGACAUUAGACUGGUUCACGAACUGACAUUGACUGGACACAGAAACGGGACUAAACGUGAGUUACACUGAAUCUUUAUUACCUUAUUCGCUAUGAGACUUAAUUGGGAAAACUAUAUAUAUACAAAUUAUGUACACUACAACGAGUUCCUACAAUUGCAGGAAAAUAAUAACUCCCCUUACCGUAAACCCCAAGCAACGGUCGUUUUAUUCCGGGGUUAUUAUUUUG